This 108-nucleotide ribosomal RNA is filed under the name Peromyscus maniculatus bairdii (prairie deer mouse). The record is from RNAcentral. Lineage: Eukaryota; Metazoa; Chordata; Mammalia; Rodentia; Cricetidae.
CUCUAUGCCUAUACCAUCCUGAACACACUGAUCUCAUCUGAUCUGGGGAGCUGUGCAGGGUUGGGCCCGGUUAGUACUUGAAGGGGAGAGUUAGGGCUGGCUGAGACA